RNAcentral lists this ribosomal RNA (253 nucleotides) under uncultured bacterium. Its description in RNAcentral is "partial 16S ribosomal RNA". It matches the Rfam family "Bacterial small subunit ribosomal RNA", at positions 524 to 776 of the family's 1533-position model. The record is from RNAcentral.
UACAGAGGGGGCGAGCGUUGUUCGGAAUUACUGGGCGUAAAGGGCGCGUAGGCGGCCUCUUAAGUCGAACGUGAAAUCCCCGGGCUCAACCCGGGAACUGCGUCCGAUACUGGGGGGCUUGAAUCCGGGAGAGGGAUGUGGAAUUCCAGGUGUAGCGGUGAAAUGCGUAGAGAUCGGGAGGAACACCCGUGGCGAAGGCGGCUCACUGGGCCGGUCCUGACGCUGAGACGCGAAGGCGUGGGGAGCGAACGGG